Long non-coding RNA from Budorcas taxicolor (takin), 433 nucleotides. RefSeq lists it as uncharacterized. NCBI's taxonomy places the organism in Eukaryota, Metazoa, Chordata, Mammalia, Artiodactyla, Bovidae. The transcript is spliced from 3 exons. The record is from RefSeq and is a predicted model, not a curated record.
ACUAAGUCACUUAAGUCGUGUCUGACUCGCUGCGACCCUAUGGACUAUAACCUGCCAGGUUCCUCUGUCCGUGGAAUUCUCCAGACAAGAAUAGUGGAGUGGAUUGCCGUUUCCUUCUCCGUAUCUUUUAAAGCAGGUUUAUGGACAGUCUUCUAUGACCCAAGCAUCAGGCAAAGUGCUUUGGGAGGCACAAAGAUGAAUAAGAUGUGACCCUUGUUCUCCAGGAUCCUGCCAAGUGGAUGAAGAGAAAGGCCAUAUACAUAAUAAGAUAACUGAUGACCCAACUCUGCCUGUUGCUGCUCUGAAUGUUAACCAUACAACCAAGCCUGACCAAGCUCUCUUACUCAUCACAGGGGUUGAUUGGCACUGGACUCAGUUCUGAUUGUUCACUGUGGCUGCAUCCUCCAAGCCAAAUGACCCACAUAAAGCCAAC